RNAcentral lists this transfer RNA (65 nucleotides) under Dipodomys ordii (Ord's kangaroo rat). It matches the Rfam family "tRNA". From Rfam's summary of the family: Transfer RNA (tRNA) molecules are approximately 80 nucleotides in length. Their secondary structure includes four short double-helical elements and three loops (D, anti-codon, and T loops). Lineage: Eukaryota; Metazoa; Chordata; Mammalia; Rodentia; Heteromyidae. The record is from Rfam by way of RNAcentral.
GGGAAUGUGGCUCAGUGGUAGAGUGCUUGUCUAGCAAGAAGCCCUGGGUUCCAUUCCUAGUACCA